UAGAUACCCUGGUAGUCCACGCCGUAAACGAUGGGUGCUAGACGUUGGCGAGCUUGCUCGUCAGUGUCGCAGCUAACGCGUUAAGCACCCCGCCUGGGGAGUACGGCCGCAAGGUUGAAACUCAAAGGAAUUGACGGGGGCCCGCACAAGCGGUGGAGCAUGUGGUUCAAUUCGACGCAACGCGCAGAACCUUACUAGCCCUUGAUAUGUGACUCGCCGGCUCCAGAGACGGAGCCUUCGGUUCGGCCGG
RNAcentral lists this ribosomal RNA (250 nucleotides) under uncultured bacterium. RNAcentral describes it as "partial 16S ribosomal RNA". It matches the Rfam family "Bacterial small subunit ribosomal RNA", at positions 779 to 1026 of the family's 1533-position model. The record is from RNAcentral.